This 253-nucleotide ribosomal RNA is filed under the name uncultured bacterium. Its description in RNAcentral is "partial 16S ribosomal RNA". It matches the Rfam family "Bacterial small subunit ribosomal RNA", at positions 524 to 776 of the family's 1533-position model. The record is from RNAcentral.
GACAGAGGUGGCGAGCGUUGUUCGGAAUUACUGGGCUUAAAGGGCGCGUAGGCGGUGGAGUAAGUCUGAGGUGGAAGGUCAGGGCUUAACCCUGAAAUUGCCUUGGAAACUGCAUCACUUGAGUCAGCGAGGGGAUGGCGGAAUUCCAGGUGUAGCGGUGAAAUGCGUAGAUAUCUGGAGGAAGGCCGGUGGCGAAGGCGGCCAUCUGGCGCUGAACUGACGCUGAGGCGCGAAAGCGUGGGGAGCAAACAGG